UUCGCUUAGAUAGAGAUAGAUAACUUACUUCGCUCGUAGAGAUAGAUAGCUUCGCAAGGUUGCUUGCUUCAGUUACAUUGAUUAGUCAAUGAGUUCGAGUUCGGAAGGAAAUAGAGUAAUGAGGAUAGAGUAAAGGGUCCCAAGAAGGCAGGUAAGGUGGCAAUGAGGAAAGGAAGGAAAGCUACAGAAGCAGGUCAGUCAGUCCUAGUUCCAGUAUUGGAGGAAGCAAGGCAUAGAAAGCAGGGCAUGUCAUGGGUUGUAGGGAAGAGGUAACACAUGUACAUGAAAGCAAGCGCGAGCAGAG
Molecule: long non-coding RNA, 304 nt
Filed under: Amborella trichopoda
Lineage: Eukaryota; Viridiplantae; Streptophyta; Magnoliopsida; Amborellales; Amborellaceae
Description: long non-coding RNA (ATRI_LNC002388)
Source: RNAcentral